AGAUUGUUUCAAAGAGGGCUUGUGGAGCUGCAGAACCAAGAGCUCCUAAUGUAUGACCGAAGAUCGAAGUUCUCUGUAGGAUGCCAUAUUCACUCAGCAGUGCUGUAUCUUCCCAAGCAGGUUUAAGA
This 128-nucleotide small nucleolar RNA is filed under the name Saimiri boliviensis boliviensis (Bolivian squirrel monkey). RNAcentral's name for it is "Small nucleolar RNA SNORA25 (ENSSBOG00000036415.1)". The record is from RNAcentral. Lineage: Eukaryota; Metazoa; Chordata; Mammalia; Primates; Cebidae.